ACGGGAGGCAGCAGUGGGGAAUAUUGCGCAAUGGGCGAAAGCCUGAUGCAGCGACGCCGCGUGAGCGAAGAAGUAUUUCGGUAUGUAAAGCUCUAUCAGCAGGGAAGAUAAUGACGGUACCUGACUAAGAAGCACCGGCUAAAUACGUGCCAGCAGCCGCGGUAAUACGUAUGGUGCAAGCGUUAUCCGGAUUUACUGGGUGUAAAGGGAGCGUAGGCGGUUUUACAAGUCUGAUGUGAAAGCCCGGGGCUCAACUCCGGUAUUGCAUUGGAAACUGUAGAACUAGAGUGUCGGAGGGGUAAGUGGAAUUCCUAGUGUAGCGGUGAAAUGCGUAUAUAUUAGGAGGAACACCAGUGGCGAAGGCGGCUUACUGGACGAUUACUGACGCUGAGGCUCGAAAGCGUGGGGAGCAAACAGGAUUAGAUACCCUGGUA
This 434-nucleotide ribosomal RNA is filed under the name uncultured Pseudobutyrivibrio sp. RNAcentral's name for it is "partial 16S ribosomal RNA". It matches the Rfam family "Bacterial small subunit ribosomal RNA", at positions 341 to 792 of the family's 1533-position model. Lineage: Bacteria; Bacillati; Bacillota; Clostridia; Lachnospirales; Lachnospiraceae. The record is from RNAcentral.